ACCCGCUGAAUUUAAGCAUAUCAAUAAGCGGAGGAAAAGAAACCAACAGGGAUUGCCCUAGUAACGGCGAGUGAAGCGGCAACAGCUCAAAUUUGAAAUCUGGCGUCUUUGGCGUCCGAGCUGUAAUUUGCAGAGGGCGCUUUGGCGUUGGGAGCGGUCCAAGUUCUUUGGAACAGGACGUCACAGAGGGUGAGAAUCCCGUACGUGGUCGCUAUCCUUCGCCGUGUAAAGCCCCUUCGACGAGUCGAGUUGUUUGGGAAUGCAGCUCUAAAUGGGAGGUAAAUUUCUUCUAAAGCUAAAUACUGGCCAGAGACCGAUAGCGCACAAGUAGAGUGAUCGAAAGAUGAAAAGCACUUUGGAAAGAGAGUCAAAUAGCACGUGAAAUUGUUGAAAGGGAAGCGCUUGCAGCCAGACUUGCCUGUAGUUGCUUAUCUGGACUUUUGUCCAGUGCACUCUUCUGCGGGCAGGCCAGCAUCAGUUUGGGCGGUUGGAUAAAGGUCUCUGUCAUGUACCUCCUUUCGGGGAGGCCUUAUAGGGGAGACGACAUGCAACCAGCCUGGACUGAGGUCCGCGCAUCUGCUAGGAUGCUGGCGUAAUGGCUGUAGCGGUCCGUCUUGAAACACGGACCAAGGAG
RNAcentral lists this ribosomal RNA (634 nucleotides) under uncultured fungus. RNAcentral's name for it is "eukaryotic LSU rRNA". It matches the Rfam family "Eukaryotic large subunit ribosomal RNA", at positions 23 to 673 of the family's 3401-position model. Lineage: Eukaryota; Fungi. The record is from RNAcentral.